Molecule: ribosomal RNA, 221 nt
Filed under: uncultured bacterium
Lineage: Bacteria
Description: partial 16S ribosomal RNA
Rfam family: Bacterial small subunit ribosomal RNA
Source: RNAcentral
GGAUAACACCUGGAAACAGAUGCUAAUACCGGAUAACAACACUAGACGCAUGUCUAGAGUUUAAAGAUGGUUCUGCUAUCACUCUUGGAUGGACCUGCGGUGCAUUAGCUAGUUGGUAAGGCAACGGCUUACCAAGGCAAUGAUGCAUAGCCGAGUUGAGAGACUGAUCGGCCACAUUGGGACUGAGACACGGGUCCAAACUCCUACGGGAGGCAGCAGGU